Molecule: ribosomal RNA, 384 nt
Filed under: uncultured bacterium
Lineage: Bacteria
Description: bacterial SSU rRNA
Rfam family: Bacterial small subunit ribosomal RNA
Source: RNAcentral
AUUGAACGCUGGCGGCAUGCCUAACACAUGCAAGUCGAACGGUAACAGGCCCUUCGGGCGCUGACGAGUGGCGGACGGGUGAGUAAUGCUUAGGAAUCUACCUUGUAGUGGGGGAUAACCCGAGGAAACUCGGGCUAAUACCGCAUACGCCUUACGGGGGAAAGCGGGGGACCUUCGGCCUCNCGCUAUAAGAUGAGCCUAAGUCCGAUUAGCUAGUUGGUAGGGUAAUGGCCUACCAAGGCGACGAUCGGUAGCUGGUCUGAGAGGACGACCAGCCACACUGGGACUGAGACACGGCCCAGACUCCUACGGGAGGCAGCAGUGGGGAAUAUUGGACAAUGGGCGAAAGCCUGAUCCAGCGAUGCCGCGUGUGUGAAGAAGGCC